GCCCUCGUUGUCUAAUGGUUAUGACGUCAGACUUCUACCAAAAAUGAUAAAAUUCACGUAAUCUGGAGGUUGCGAGUUCGAGUCUCGCCGGGGGUU
Piloderma croceum F 1598 is the source of this 96-nucleotide transfer RNA. It matches the Rfam family "tRNA". From Rfam's summary of the family: Transfer RNA (tRNA) molecules are approximately 80 nucleotides in length. Their secondary structure includes four short double-helical elements and three loops (D, anti-codon, and T loops). NCBI's taxonomy places the organism in Eukaryota, Fungi, Basidiomycota, Agaricomycetes, Atheliales, Atheliaceae. The record is from Rfam.